RNAcentral lists this ribosomal RNA (253 nucleotides) under uncultured bacterium. Its description in RNAcentral is "partial 16S ribosomal RNA". It matches the Rfam family "Bacterial small subunit ribosomal RNA", at positions 524 to 776 of the family's 1533-position model. The record is from RNAcentral.
UACGUAGGGUGCAAGCGUUAAUCGGAAUUAUUGGGCGUAAAGAGCGUGUAGGCGGCCCGAUUAGUCCGCUGUGAAAGUCCAGGGCUCAACCCUGGAAUGCCGGUGGAUACUGUCGGGCUAGAGUCCGGAAGGGGCGAGUGGAAUUCCUGGUGUAGCGGUGAAAUGCGCAGAUAUCAGGAGGAACACCAAUGGCGAAGGCAGCUCGCUGGGACGUGUCUGACGCUGAGACGCGAAAGCGUGGGGAGCAAACAGG